Molecule: ribosomal RNA, 301 nt
Filed under: uncultured bacterium
Lineage: Bacteria
Description: partial 16S ribosomal RNA
Rfam family: Bacterial small subunit ribosomal RNA
Source: RNAcentral
CAGUAUCCACGGUAAUACGUAGGGGGCAAGCGUUAUCCGGAAUUACUGGGCGUAAAGGGCUCGCAGGCGGUUUCUUAAGUCUGAUGUGAAAGCCCCCGGCUCAACCGGGGAGGGUCAUUGGAAACUGGGAAACUUGAGUGCAGAAGAGGAGAGUGGAAUUCCACGUGUAGCGGUGAAAUGCGUAGAGAUGUGGAGGAACACCAGUGGCGAAGGCGACUCUCUGGUCUGUAACUGACGCUGAGGAGCGAAAGCGUGGGGAGCGAACAGGAUUAGAUACCCCUGUAGUCCCUGUCUCUUAUAC